GUAGGUGGCAAGCGUUGUCCGGAAUUAUUGGGGCGUAAAGCGCGCGCAGGCGGUUCUUUAAGUCUGAUGUGAAAGCCCACGGGCUCAACCGUGGAGGGUCAUUGGAAACUGGAGAGCUUGAGUACAGAAGAGGAAAGCGGAAUUCCACGUGUAGCGGUGAAAUGCGUAGAGAUGUGGAGGAACACCAGUGGCGAAGGCGGCUUUCUGGUCUGUAACUGACGCUGAGGCGCGAAAGCGUGGGGAGCAAACAGGAUUAGAUACCCUGGUAGUCCACGCCGUAAACGAUGAGUGCUAAGUGUUAGGGGGUUUCCGCCCCUUAGUGCUGCAGCUAACGCAUUAAGCACUCCGCCUGGGGAGUACGACCGCAAGGUUG
RNAcentral lists this ribosomal RNA (373 nucleotides) under uncultured organism. RNAcentral describes it as "partial 16S ribosomal RNA". It matches the Rfam family "Bacterial small subunit ribosomal RNA", at positions 527 to 896 of the family's 1533-position model. The record is from RNAcentral.